AUACAGAGGGUGCGAGCGUUAAUCGGAAUUACUGGGCGUAAAGCGCGCGUAGGCGGCUUGGUCAGUCGGAUGUGAAAGCCCCGGGCUCAGCCUGGGAAUGGCAUUCGAUACUGCCAGGCUAGAGUAUGGGAGAGGGAAGUGGAAUUUCCGGUGUAGCGGUGAAAUGCGUAGAUAUCGGAAGGAACACCAGUGGCGAAGGCGACUUCCUGGCCCAAUACUGACGCUGAGGUGCGAAAGCGUGGGGAGCGAACAGGAUUAGAAACCCUAGUAGUCC
This 274-nucleotide ribosomal RNA is filed under the name uncultured bacterium. Its description in RNAcentral is "partial 16S ribosomal RNA". It matches the Rfam family "Bacterial small subunit ribosomal RNA", at positions 523 to 796 of the family's 1533-position model. The record is from RNAcentral.